AGUGAACGCUGGCGGUAGGCCUAACACAUGCCAGUCGAACGGCAGCACAGUAAGAGCUUGCUCUUACGGGUGGCGAGUGGCGGACGGGUGAGGAAUACAUCGGAAUCUACUUUUUCGUGGGGGAUAACGUAGGGAAACUUACGCUAAUACCGCAUACGACCUACGGGUGAAAGCAGGGGAUCUUCGGACCUUGCGCGAUUGAAUGAGCCGAUGUCGGAUUAGCUAGUUGGCGGGGUAAAGGCCCACCAAGGCGACGAUCCGUAGCUGGUCUGAGAGGAUGAUCAGCCACACUGGAACUGAGACACGGUCCAGACUCCUACGGGAGGUAGCAGUGGGGAAUAUUGGACAAUGGGCGCAAGCCUGAUCCAGCCAUACCGCGUGGGUGAAGAAGGCCUUCGGGUUGUAAAGCCCUUUUGUUGGGAAAGAAAAGCAGCAGGUUAAUACCCCGCUGUUCUGACGGUACCCAAAGAAUAAGCACCGGCUAACUUCGUG
Molecule: ribosomal RNA, 492 nt
Filed under: uncultured bacterium
Lineage: Bacteria
Description: partial 16S ribosomal RNA
Rfam family: Bacterial small subunit ribosomal RNA
Source: RNAcentral